This 72-nucleotide transfer RNA is filed under the name Camelus bactrianus (Bactrian camel). It matches the Rfam family "tRNA". Rfam says of the family: Transfer RNA (tRNA) molecules are approximately 80 nucleotides in length. Their secondary structure includes four short double-helical elements and three loops (D, anti-codon, and T loops). Lineage: Eukaryota; Metazoa; Chordata; Mammalia; Artiodactyla; Camelidae. The record is from Rfam by way of RNAcentral. RNAcentral also lists the same sequence under 2 other names.
GAGGGUAUAGCUUAGAGGUAGAGCGCAUGCUUCGCAUGCGUGAGGUCCUGAGUUCAGUCCCCAGCACCUCCA